Molecule: ribosomal RNA, 1470 nt
Filed under: metagenome
Description: bacterial SSU rRNA
Rfam family: Bacterial small subunit ribosomal RNA
Source: RNAcentral
AGAGUUUGAUCCUGGCUCAGGACGAACGCUGGCGGCACGCUUAACACAUGCAAGUCGAACGAGAGAAGAGGAGCUUGCUUUUCUGAUCUAGUGGCGGACGGGUGAGUAACACGUGAGCAAUCUGCCUUUCAGAGGGGGAUACCGAUUGGAAACGAUCGUUAAUACCGCAUAACAUAAUUGAACCGCAUGAUUUGAUUAUCAAAGAUUUAUCGCUGAAAGAUGAGCUCGCGUCUGAUUAGCUAGUUGGUAAGGUAACGGCUUACCAAGGCGACGAUCAGUAGCCGGACUGAGAGGUUGAUCGGCCACAUUGGGACUGAGACACGGCCCAGACUCCUACGGGAGGCAGCAGUGGGGAAUAUUGCACAAUGGAGGAAACUCUGAUGCAGCGACGCCGCGUGAGGGAAGAAGGUUUUAGGAUUGUAAACCUCUGUCUUCAGGGACGAAAAAAGACGGUACCUGAGGAGGAAGCUCCGGCUAACUACGUGCCAGCAGCCGCGGUAAUACGUAGGGAGCGAGCGUUGUCCGGAAUUACUGGGUGUAAAGGGAGCGUAGGCGGGAUCGCAAGUCAGAUGUGAAAACUAUGGGCUUAACCCAUAAACUGCAUUUGAAACUGUGGUUCUUGAGUGAAGUAGAGGUAAGCGGAAUUCCUAGUGUAGCGGUGAAAUGCGUAGAUAUUAGGAGGAACAUCAGUGGCGAAGGCGGCUUACUGGGCUUUAACUGACGCUGAGGCUCGAAAGCGUGGGGAGCAAACAGGAUUAGAUACCCUGGUAGUCCACGCCGUAAACGAUGAUUACUAGGUGUGGGGGGACUGACCCCUUCCGUGCCGCAGCAAACGCAAUAAGUAAUCCACCUGGGGAGUACGACCGCAAGGUUGAAACUCAAAGGAAUUGACGGGGGCCCGCACAAGCAGUGGAGUAUGUGGAUUAAUUCGAAGCAACGCGAAGAACCUUACCAGGUCUUGACAUCAUAUGCAUAGCUCAGAGAUGAGUGAAAUCUCUUCGGAGACAUAUAGACAGGUGGUGCAUGGUUGUCGUCAGCUCGUGUCGUGAGAUGUUGGGUUAAGUCCCGCAACGAGCGCAACCCUUACUGUUAGUUGCUACGCAAGAGCACUCUAGCAGGACUGCCGUUGACAAAACGGAGGAAGGUGGGGAUGACGUCAAAUCAUCAUGCCCCUUAUGACCUGGGCCUCACACGUACUACAAUGGCUGUCAACAGAGGGAAGCAAAGCCGCGAGGUGGAGCGAACCCCUAAAAGCAGUCUUAGUUCGGAUUGUAGGCUGCAACCCGCCUACAUGAAGUCGGAAUUGCUAGUAAUCGCAGAUCAGCAUGCUGCGGUGAAUACGUUCCCGGGCCUUGUACACACCGCCCGUCACGCCAUGGGAGUCGGUAACACCCGAAGCCUGUAGUCUAACCGCAAGGAGGACGCAGUCGAAGGUGGGAUUGAUGACUGGGGUGAAGUCGUAACAAGGUA